This is a small nuclear RNA of Phyllostomus hastatus (greater spear-nosed bat), 104 nucleotides long. Lineage: Eukaryota; Metazoa; Chordata; Mammalia; Chiroptera; Phyllostomidae. The record is from RefSeq and is a predicted model, not a curated record.
GUGCUCACUUCAGGAGCACACACACCAAAAUUGGAACAAUACAGAGAUUAACAUGGCCUCUGUGCAAGGAUGACACACAAAUUUGUGAAGCAUUACAUAUUUUU